This 450-nucleotide ribosomal RNA is filed under the name uncultured bacterium. RNAcentral's name for it is "partial 16S ribosomal RNA". It matches the Rfam family "Bacterial small subunit ribosomal RNA", at positions 354 to 796 of the family's 1533-position model. The record is from RNAcentral.
GUGGGGAAUAUUGGACAAUGGGCGAAAGCCUGAUCCAGCCAUGCCGCGUGUGUGAAGAAGGUCUUCGGAUUGUAAAGCACUUUAAGUUGGGAGGAAGGGCAGUAAGUUAAUACCUUGCUGUUUUGACGUUACCGACAGAAUAAGCACCGGCUAACUUCGUGCCAGCAGCCGCGGUAAUACGAAGGGGGCGAGCGUUAUUCGGAAUCACUGGGCGUAAAGCGUGCGUAGGCGGUUUUGUAAGUUAGGAGUGAAAGCCCAGGGCUCAACCUUGGAAUUGCUCUUAAAACUGCAAGGCUCGAAUCUCGGAGAGGAUAGCGGAAUUUCCAGUGUAGCAGUGAAAUGCGUAGAUAUUGGAAGGAACACCAGUGGCGUAAGCGGCUAUCUGGACGAGUAUUGACGCUGAGGCACGAAAGCGUGGGGAUCAAACAGGAUUAGAAACCCUAGUAGUCC